AGAUUGAACGCUGGCGGCAGGCUUAACACAUGCAAGUCGAGCGGGGAAAUGUAGCUUGCUACAUUACCUAGCGGCGGACGGGUGAGUAAUGCUUAGGAAUCUGCCUAUUAGUGGGGGACAACAUUUCGAAAGGAAUGCUAAUACCGCAUACCGCCCUACGGGGGAAAGCGAGGGGAUCUUCGGACCUUGCGCUAAUAGAUGAGCCUAAGUCGGAUUAGCUAGUUGGUGGGGUAAAGGCCUACCAAGGCGACGAUCUGUAGCGGGUCUGAGAGGAUGAUCCGCCACACUGGGACUGAGACACGGCCCAG
RNAcentral lists this ribosomal RNA (308 nucleotides) under uncultured soil bacterium. RNAcentral describes it as "bacterial SSU rRNA". It matches the Rfam family "Bacterial small subunit ribosomal RNA", at positions 26 to 334 of the family's 1533-position model. The record is from RNAcentral.